GGCCAGACUCCUACGGGAGGCAGCAGUGGGGAAUAUUGCGCAAUGGGCGAAAGCCUGACGCAGCGACGCCGCGUGAGGGAUGAAGGUCUUCGGAUCGUAAACCUCUGUCAGCAGGGAAGAAAAUGACGGUACCUGAAGAAGAAGCCCCGGCUAACUACGUGCCAGCAGCCGCGGUAAUACGUAGGGGGCAAGCGUUAUCCGGAUUUACUGGGUGUAAAGGGGGCGCAGACGGCGAUGCAAGCCAGGAGUGAAAGCCCGGGGCCCAACCCCGGGACUGCGCUUGGAACUGCGUGGCUGGAGUGCAGGAGGGGCAGGCGGAAUUCCUGGUGUAGCGGUGAAAUGCGUAGAUAUCAGGAGGAACACCGGUGGCGAAGGCGGCCUGCUGGACUGCAACUGACGUUGAGGCCCGAAAGCGUGGGGAGCAAACAGGAUUAGAUACCCUAGUAGG
Molecule: ribosomal RNA, 448 nt
Filed under: uncultured bacterium
Lineage: Bacteria
Description: bacterial SSU rRNA
Rfam family: Bacterial small subunit ribosomal RNA
Source: RNAcentral